UACGUAGGGUGCAAGCGUUGUCCGGAAUUAUUGGGCGUAAAGGGCUCGUAGGCGGUCCAUCACGUCGGGAGUGAAAAGCUGGGGCUUAACCCCAGUCCUGCUUCCGAUACGGGUGGACUAGAGGUAGGUAGGGGAGAACGGAAUUCCUGGUGUGGCGGUGAAAUGCGCAGAUAUCAGGAGGAACACCGGUGGCGAAGGCGGUUCUCUGGGCCUUACCUGACGCUGAGGAGCGAAAGCGUGGGGAGCAAACAGG
RNAcentral lists this ribosomal RNA (253 nucleotides) under uncultured bacterium. RNAcentral describes it as "partial 16S ribosomal RNA". It matches the Rfam family "Bacterial small subunit ribosomal RNA", at positions 524 to 776 of the family's 1533-position model. The record is from RNAcentral.